GAUGAACGCUGGCGGCGUGCCUAAUACAUGCAAGUCGAGCGAACAGACGCUGCUCUUGCUCCUCUCACGUUAGCAACGGACGGGUGAGUCACAGGUGGACAACCUACCUAUACGACUGGGAUCACUUCGGGAAACCCUAGCUACUAACGGAUAAUAUUUUGAACCGCAUGGUUCGAUAGUUAUUGCCGUUUUUGCUGUCCCUUAUAGCUGGCACCUCGCCGCAUUGGUAAGUUGGUAAGGUAACGGCUUACCAAGGCAACGCUGGGUAACCGACCUGAGAGGGUGAACGGCCACACGGGAACUGAGACGCGACCCAGAGUCCUAGGGGAGGCAGCGGUAGCGAAGCGAGCGCAAUGGGCGGAAGCCUGACGGAGCAGCGCCGCGCGAGUGAUGAAGGUCUUCGGAUCGUAAAACGCUGUUAUUAUGGAAAAACAAUUGUGUAAGGAACGAUGCUCGUCGUGACGGUACCUAAUCAAAAAGCCACGGCUAACUACGUG
RNAcentral lists this ribosomal RNA (497 nucleotides) under uncultured bacterium. RNAcentral's name for it is "partial 16S ribosomal RNA". It matches the Rfam family "Bacterial small subunit ribosomal RNA", at positions 28 to 507 of the family's 1533-position model. The record is from RNAcentral.